RNAcentral lists this long non-coding RNA (1686 nucleotides) under Homo sapiens (human). RNAcentral describes it as "long intergenic non-protein coding RNA 320". Lineage: Eukaryota; Metazoa; Chordata; Mammalia; Primates; Hominidae. The record is from RNAcentral.
GGACUGUGUGAUUUUUGUUCUUUAGUAGAAGGAUAACAUGACAUAGCAGGAAUAAUACUGCCUUUUCUUUCUGGCAUGGAUCAAGAGAAAAGAAAAUACAAGAAAACAGACAGAAGAUCCUAUCUGCGACAAUUAAGAGCACUCUAAGAGGAAAACACAUCCCACCACAGCAAGGUACUUCUAUGGAAGGGUGAGCCCUCACAGAUGGAGCAAUGGGGCGCGCACACCUGAACAAGGGAGGGGAAGGAGUUCUUAUCCCUGAUGCAUGUGACCCCUGCUGCUGUGUCCUUCCCCUAUUGGCUAAGGCUUCUGACAGCUUUGGAGAUUGUGACAUUGGAAUAAAGGAAAAACGUACAGGACUCAUGAAGCGCUGAAAUGUUCACAAAUAUCAAGCAAAAGUCAAUGAAAUUUAUUUUGAGCUAUUUACAUCAUUUAAUAAUUGAGCAAGGUAUACUCCUAUGAACAAAAUUUGGAGCAUGUUUGUCUCUCUCUGCCUGGCGUCUUCAGAAUUUGGAAACUAGUUAUGGUUUAUAAUCAGCUAUAGAAUUUUAACACGUGCUCUCAAAUGCAAGUUUCUGAUAACUUUGGAGAUUGUGACAUUGGAAUAAAGGAAGAGCUGGAAUGUUCAUGAAUAUCAAGCAAAAGUCAUGGAAAUUUAUUUUGAGCUAUUUACAGCAUUUAAUAAUUGAGCAAGGUAUACUCCUAUGAACAAAAUUUGGAGCAUGUUUGUCUCUCUCUGUCUGCCUGGCAUCUACAGAAUUUGGAAACUAGUUUCGUUCCCAGAUUUCCUAAACUUUCCAGAGAAAAUGGUCUUCUCCCUGGCUCAGCAAGAAGAUGAACUUUAAACACUGAGAAACUGGUCAUCUCCCUGGCUCAACCAGAAGAUGAACUUUAAACACUACUCUCAAUGACUUGAUGUUCCCAUCACUACUCCUGUCAUAAAGGGAGGGGACUCAGAUAUUGAGAAUUUUAUGAUAGUGUGAACUGUCUGGUAUGUCAUUUAAGUAAGCCCGUUGCUGAAAUAUUUUCCAUGUUAUUAGAAAGAGCUGAAGAGAGGGAUUGAGAUGGCUUCUUUAUUUUUUGUCUUUUGGGAAUUAAAGGAACCUGGUUCAACAAGGGCCUACACCUAAGUCUCUUGUUGUACCAGAGUACAAUUUAGGACUGCUCCUGAGGAAGGAAUUAGCUAGAAAUCUAGAGAGUAAGGGUAACAGAUUUACAUAGAAUAACAGCCUCAGUAUUUUUGGUUCCUCUCCAGUAAAGAUCACAAAGAAUAUUGCUAAAUCGCUAAAACACCUUUGCAAUAACGUAAGGGCUUACAACUAUAUACCAAUGUAGCUCAGUUACUAAACUGGAGUAAACUAAUUUCUCUUGUGUAGAAAAAUUGGUUGGCUGUGGUUUUAUAGCAGAUCUGCAAUUAUUAAUAGUUAUGCCAAUAAUCGUUUAACAGUGCAUAUGUUAAUAUAUAUGGAAAGACAAUGUGUAUAGACAGAUGUGUAAAAUUGAAAAAUAAACAUAUAACAAGAGAGAAACAUCUAUCGAACAGACAAUAUACAUACACAUCAAACACAACAGCAGUUUUAGUGACCAUAAUAUUUAUUUCUCAUUUUUACAUUGCUUACUUUAGUGACAACUGAAAAUGACAGUUGGCAAUGCAGCUAACAGUUUCAAUAAAAGUAUAAAACAAAA